This 1695-nucleotide ribosomal RNA is filed under the name Escherichia coli. RNAcentral's name for it is "partial 23S ribosomal RNA". It matches the Rfam family "Bacterial large subunit ribosomal RNA", at positions 1252 to 2925 of the family's 2925-position model. The record is from RNAcentral. Lineage: Bacteria; Pseudomonadati; Pseudomonadota; Gammaproteobacteria; Enterobacterales; Enterobacteriaceae.
GAAGGUGUGCUGUGAGGCAUGCUGGAGGUAUCAGAAGUGCGAAUGCUGACAUAAGUAACGAUAAAGCGGGUGAAAAGCCCGCUCGCCGGAAGACCAAGGGUUCCUGUCCAACGUUAAUCGGGGCAGGGUGAGUCGACCCCUAAGGCGAGGCCGAAAGGCGUAGUCGAUGGGAAACAGGUUAAUAUUCCUGUACUUGGUGUUACUGCGAAGGGGGGACGGAGAAGGCUAUGUUGGCCGGGCGACGGUUGUCCCGGUUUAAGCGUGUAGGCUGGUUUUCCAGGCAAAUCCGGAAAAUCAAGGCUGAGGCGUGAUGACGAGGCACUACGGUGCUGAAGCAACAAAUGCCCUGCUUCCAGGAAAAGCCUCUAAGCAUCAGGUAACAUCAAAUCGUACCCCAAACCGACACAGGUGGUCAGGUAGAGAAUACCAAGGCGCUUGAGAGAACUCGGGUGAAGGAACUAGGCAAAAUGGUGCCGUAACUUCGGGAGAAGGCACGCUGAUAUGUAGGUGAAGCGACUUGCUCGUGGAGCUGAAAUCAGUCGAAGAUACCAGCUGGCUGCAACUGUUUAUUAAAAACACAGCACUGUGCAAACACGAAAGUGGACGUAUACGGUGUGACGCCUGCCCGGUGCCGGAAGGUUAAUUGAUGGGGUUAGCGGUAACGCGAAGCUCUUGAUCGAAGCCCCGGUAAACGGCGGCCGUAACUAUAACGGUCCUAAGGUAGCGAAAUUCCUUGUCGGGUAAGUUCCGACCUGCACGAAUGGCGUAAUGAUGGCCAGGCUGUCUCCACCCGAGACUCAGUGAAAUUGAACUCGCUGUGAAGAUGCAGUGUACCCGCGGCAAGACGGAAAGACCCCGUGAACCUUUACUAUAGCUUGACACUGAACAUUGAGCCUUGAUGUGUAGGAUAGGUGGGAGGCUUUGAAGUGUGGACGCCAGUCUGCAUGGAGCCGACCUUGAAAUACCACCCUUUAAUGUUUGAUGUUCUAACGUUGGCCCGUAAUCCGGGUUGCGGACAGUGUCUGGUGGGUAGUUUGACUGGGGCGGUCUCCUCCUAAAGAGUAACGGAGGAGCACGAAGGUUGGCUAAUCCUGGUCGGACAUCAGGAGGUUAGUGCAAUGGCAUAAGCCAGCUUGACUGCGAGCGUGACGGCGCGAGCAGGUGCGAAAGCAGGUCAUAGUGAUCCGGUGGUUCUGAAUGGAAGGGCCAUCGCUCAACGGAUAAAAGGUACUCCGGGGAUAACAGGCUGAUACCGCCCAAGAGUUCAUAUCGACGGCGGUGUUUGGCACCUCGAUGUCGGCUCAUCACAUCCUGGGGCUGAAGUAGGUCCCAAGGGUAUGGCUGUUCGCCAUUUAAAGUGGUACGCGAGCUGGGUUUAGAACGUCGUGAGACAGUUCGGUCCCUAUCUGCCGUGGGCGCUGGAGAACUGAGGGGGGCUGCUCCUAGUACGAGAGGACCGGAGUGGACGCAUCACUGGUGUUCGGGUUGUCAUGCCAAUGGCACUGCCCGGUAGCUAAAUGCGGAAGAGAUAAGUGCUGAAAGCAUCUAAGCACGAAACUUGCCCCGAGAUGAGUUCUCCCUGAGACUUUAAGUCUCCUGAAGGAACGUUGAAGACGACGACGUUGAUAGGCCGGGUGUGUAAGCGCAGCGAUGCGUUGAGCUAACCGGUACUAAUGAACCGUGAGGCUUAACCUU